Non-coding RNA from Talpa occidentalis (Iberian mole), 528 nucleotides. The record is from the annotation of a RefSeq genome assembly. Lineage: Eukaryota; Metazoa; Chordata; Mammalia; Eulipotyphla; Talpidae.
AGGUGGCCUCUGGGGCCUCCCAUCAGGACAUAAGUGAGACAAACCCAUGGUCACCUGUCUCCGUGGGGGAGGGGACUCCUCAGCUGCUUCCUGGAGGAGCCCUCAGGACACUCACUGCUCUCUUCUCCAUCUGCAGUUCCUGGUCUCCGGCCAGCUCAGCUCUGCUGUGCCCUUGGAUCCCUCAGAGCCUCUGACGCCCUCUGCCCUUCUGUGGCCCAACUGGGAAGGAUCAGAAUCAGGCUCUGUGGUCUCCUAUGGGCUGACUCAGCCUUCCUCAGUGUCGGUGUCUCUGGGAGAGACGGCCAGGUUGACAUGUCAGGGAGACAACAUUGGUGGUGAAUAUGUUCAAUGGUUCCAGCAGAAGCCCAACCAGGCCCCUGUGCAGGUCAUUUAUAAGACUAACCAGCGGCCCUCAGGGAUCCCUGACAGGUUCUCAGGCUCCAAAUCUGGGAACACGGCCACCCUGACCAUCAGCGGGACCCAGGCCGAGGACGAGGCUGACUAUUACUGUCAGGACUGAUAUGUGAC